AUUGAACGCUGGCGGCAGGCCUAACACAUGCAAGUCGAGCGGAGCGGCGGACGGGUGCGUAAUGCCUAGGACUCUGCCUGGUAGUGGGGGAUAACGUCCGGAAACGGGCGCUAAUACCGCAUACUAUCAGAAGAGCCUAGGGCGGAUUAGCAUGUUGGUGGGGUAAAGGCCUACAAAGGCGACGAUCCGUAACUGGUCUGAGAGGAUGAGCAGUCAAACUGGAACUGAGACACGGUCCAGACGCCUACGGGAGGCAGCAGUGGGGAAUAUUGGACAAUGGGCGAAAGCCUGAUCCAGCCAUGCCGCGUGUGUGAAGAAGGUCUUCGGAUUGUAAAGCACUUUAAGUUGGGAGGCGUUACCAACAGAAUAAGCACCGGCUAACUUCGUGCCAGCAGCCGCGGUAAUAC
RNAcentral lists this ribosomal RNA (407 nucleotides) under uncultured bacterium. Its description in RNAcentral is "partial 16S ribosomal RNA". It matches the Rfam family "Bacterial small subunit ribosomal RNA", at positions 30 to 526 of the family's 1533-position model. The record is from RNAcentral.